Molecule: ribosomal RNA, 515 nt
Filed under: Escherichia coli
Lineage: Bacteria; Pseudomonadati; Pseudomonadota; Gammaproteobacteria; Enterobacterales; Enterobacteriaceae
Also listed under: 1 other name
Description: partial 23S ribosomal RNA
Rfam family: Bacterial large subunit ribosomal RNA
Source: RNAcentral
CGAGUCUUAACUGGGCGUUAAGUUGCAGGGUAUAGACCCGAAACCCGGUGAUCUAGCCAUGGGCAGGUUGAAGGUUGGGUAACACUAACUGGAGGACCGAACCGACUAAUGUUGAAAAAUUAGCGGAUGACUUGUGGCUGGGGGUGAAAGGCCAAUCAAACCGGGAGAUAGCUGGUUCUCCCCGAAAGCUAUUUAGGUAGCGCCUCGUGAAUUCAUCUCCGGGGGUAGAGCACUGUUUCGGCAAGGGGGUCAUCCCGACUUACCAACCCGAUGCAAACUGCGAAUACCGGAGAAUGUUAUCACGGGAGACACACGGCGGGUGCUAACGUCCGUCGUGAAGAGGGAAACAACCCAGACCGCCAGCUAAGGUCCCAAAGUCAUGGUUAAGUGGGAAACGAUGUGGGAAGGCCCAGACAGCCAGGAUGUUGGCUUAGAAGCAGCCAUCAUUUAAAGAAAGCGUAAUAGCUCACUGGUCGAGUCGGCCUGCGCGGAAGAUGUAACGGGGCUAAACCAUG